GUGAUAGAUAGAUCAAAUCGAUUGAUACAAGUGACUGAACAGUUAAGUCGAGAGCCUCCAAAGAUAUGAAAGAGGAGGAUAAGAGCAACGAGCGAAAUAGGAAGCUGCCACCAAGCUUCCUUCUGUGUCUCUCAUGGCGUAUUAGUUUUUCAUUUUCUUUCCUCAAUGGCAUCAUUCAGCCUUCUUCAUUCCCUUCUUCAACUCACCUUCAUCAUCUUCUGCUCUCUCUUGCUGUACUCCAAGCUCUGAUCACAGAAGGGGGAGGGAGGGGGGGAGAGGGAGAGAUGUUUGCUCCGCCGGGCUAUCAGCAAGUGUCGCACUUCGAUCACGUCCGUCGGCGCCAUGAAGAAAGAGGCUGUCUCUAUGCCUGCCUGUUCGCGCUGUGUUGCUGCUUCUGCUGCUUCGAGACUUGCGAGUACUGCUUGGAGAUGCUCUGUUGUUGCUGCCCCUAAAAUAAACAACACGCAUGAAUUUCAUGGAUAUCACUCCCUCAGUUUCUCAUGAUGUUCUGUAGAUCUGGCUUCUUCAGUGUAUCCACUUUGAAAUAAUAGGAGGUCUCGGUUCAUGUAUAUCUUCUAAUAUACCUGAAGAAGUCCUAGGCUUGCAA
Long non-coding RNA from Syzygium oleosum, 607 nucleotides. RefSeq lists it as uncharacterized. The record is from RefSeq and is a predicted model, not a curated record. NCBI's taxonomy places the organism in Eukaryota, Viridiplantae, Streptophyta, Magnoliopsida, Myrtales, Myrtaceae. The transcript has 2 exons.